CCUACGAGAGGCAGCAGUGAGGAAUAUUGGUCAAUGGGCGGAAGCCUGAACCAGCCAAGUAGCGUGCAGGAUGACGGCCCUACGGGUUGUAAACUGCUUUUAUACGUGAAUAACGCGCCUUACGUGUAGGGCUUUGCAUGUACCGUAUGAAUAAGGACCGGCUAAUUCCGUGCCAGCAGCCGCGGUAAUACGGAAGGUCCGGGCGUUAGCCGGAUUUAUAGGGGUUAAAGGGAGCGUAGGCGGCAUGUCCAGCGUGCUGUGAAAUGUCCGGGCUCAACCCGGGCCUUGCAGCGCGAACUGGCGUGCUUGAGUCCGCGGAAAGCAGGCGGAAUUCGUCGUGUAGCGGUGAAAUGCUUAGAUAUGACGAAGAACCCCGAUUGCGAAGGCAGCUUGCUGCAGCGGAACUGACGCUGAUGCUCGAAAGCGCGGGUAUCGAACAGGAUUAGAUACCCGAGUAGUC
This 460-nucleotide ribosomal RNA is filed under the name uncultured bacterium. RNAcentral's name for it is "partial 16S ribosomal RNA". It matches the Rfam family "Bacterial small subunit ribosomal RNA", at positions 338 to 795 of the family's 1533-position model. The record is from RNAcentral.